RNAcentral lists this ribosomal RNA (421 nucleotides) under uncultured bacterium. RNAcentral's name for it is "partial 16S ribosomal RNA". It matches the Rfam family "Bacterial small subunit ribosomal RNA", at positions 360 to 773 of the family's 1533-position model. The record is from RNAcentral.
AAUAUUGGACAAUGGGCGAAAGCCUGAUCCAGCCAUGCCGCGUGUGUGAAGAAGGUCUUCGGAUUGUAAAGCACUUUAAGUUGGGAGGAAGGGCAGUAAGUUAAUACCUUGCUGUUUUGACGUUACCGACAGAAUAAGCACCGGCUAGCUUCGUGCCAGCAGCCGCGGUAAUACGAAGGGUGCAAGCGUUAAUCGGAAUUACUUGGCGUAAAGCGCGCGUAGGUGGUUUGUUAAGUUGGAAGUGAAAGCCCCGGGCUCAACCUGGGAACUGCUUUCAUAACUGCUGAGCUAGAGUGCGGUAGGGGAGAUUGGAAUUCCUGGUGUAGCGGUGGAAUGCGCAGAUAUCAGGAGGAACACCGAUGGCGAAGGCGACUACCUGGACUGAUACUGACACUGAGGUGCGAAAGCGUGGGGAGCAAAC